Molecule: ribosomal RNA, 253 nt
Filed under: uncultured bacterium
Lineage: Bacteria
Description: partial 16S ribosomal RNA
Rfam family: Bacterial small subunit ribosomal RNA
Source: RNAcentral
UACGUAGGGUGCGAGCGUUAAUCGGAAUUACUGGGCGUAAAGGGUGCGCAGGUGGCCGCGCAAGUCGAGUGUGAAAUCCCCGGGCUUAACUUGGGAAUUGCGCUCGAAACUACGUGGCUCGAGUGUGGCAGAGGGGGGUGGAAUUCCACGUGUAGCGGUGAAAUGCGUAGAGAUGUGGAGGAACACCAAUGGCGAAGGCAGCCCCCUGGGCCAACACUGACGCUCAUGCACGAAAGCGUGGGGAGCAAACAGG